RNAcentral lists this long non-coding RNA (755 nucleotides) under Homo sapiens (human). RNAcentral's name for it is "non-protein coding lnc-CLDN11-8:1". The record is from RNAcentral. Lineage: Eukaryota; Metazoa; Chordata; Mammalia; Primates; Hominidae.
CAACAAAAUAAUAAUCAGUAGAGUCAACAGACAACCUACAGAAUGGGAGAAAAUAUUUGCAAACUAUGGAUCUGUCAAAGGACUGAUAUCUAGAGUCUACAAGGAACACAAACAACAAGAAAAAACAAUCCAUUAAAAAGUGGGCAAAGGACAUGAACAGACAUGUCCUCGAAAGAAGACAUACAAGUGGCCAACAUACAUAUGAAAAAUUCUCAACAUCACUAGUCAUCAGAGAAAUGCAAAUUAAAACCACAAUGAGAUACAUCUCACAUCAGUCAGAAUGAGUACUAUGAAGUCAAAAAACAGCAGACGUUAGUGUGGACACACAGAAAAGGGAAUGCUUAUACACUGUUGGUGGGAAUGUAAAUUAGUUCAUCUAUGUAUUAAUAAAACAGUAUGGAGAGUCUUCAAAGAAUGAAAAAUAGAACUACCAUUCAACCCAGCAAUCCCACUACUAGGCAUCUACCAAAAGGAAAAAAAAUAUUAUGUCUAAAAGACAUGUGAGCUUGUAUGUUUAAUGCAGCCCUAUUCACAACAAAAUCAUGGAAUCAAAGUGUCCAUCAAUAGUUGAUUGAUUGGAUAAAGAAAGUGUGAUAUAUAUAUACACCAUGGAAUACUAUGCAGGCAAAAAAAAGAAAUCAUGUCCUUUGCAGCUGGAGGCAUCUAUCUAUCUAUCUAUCUAUCUAUCUAUCUAUCUAUCUAUCUAUCUAUCUAGAUAUCGGUAUAUCUAGAUAUAGAUAGAUAUGAAAAGCUUA